CGGGGUGUGGCUCAGUUUGGUAGAGCGCUUGGUUCGGGACCAAGAGGUCGUGUGUUCAAAUCACAUCACUCCGACCA
This 77-nucleotide transfer RNA is filed under the name Candidatus Apopatosoma intestinale. RNAcentral's name for it is "tRNA-Pro". It matches the Rfam family "tRNA". From Rfam's summary of the family: Transfer RNA (tRNA) molecules are approximately 80 nucleotides in length. Their secondary structure includes four short double-helical elements and three loops (D, anti-codon, and T loops). The record is from RNAcentral. Lineage: Bacteria; Bacillati; Bacillota; Clostridia; Eubacteriales. RNAcentral also lists the same sequence under 1 other name.